GGGAAGAGGCUGGCAUAGAGUUCCCAGGGGGUACCCAGCAGACAGACAGCUCUGUAAUUUGGGGGAGAAGAAGAGUUGUCCUUUUUGUGUACUGGAUAGGCUGUGCUCUGAGCCCGUUCCAUGAAUUAAGAUCACUCAGUUACUUUGCAAGGAAGGAGUCCAGAACAUCAACCAGAAGAGGGUAUAAAUAAUUCUGGAGGGAAAAGAGCAUCUUUCCAGGAACCUCUGCAUCUGAAGGGCACCACUGUCUUGCCCAACCGGGCCUCAGUGCUCUAUGAUCCUGAGUGUUGGGAGACUCCCCUGACAGUUCGACUCUGGCCACUUCCUGGACAAGGACAGAAACUUCAUGGUCAGUGAAGCCUUCCUGCCAUUCUCUGCAUCUCCUUAAGCAUAAGCAUCUCUCCCUAGCUAGGGAUUGAUUGCUGGCCUGCUGUGACCACCCACCUUGAGACCACAGACCUGCUACCUGCUGUGCUCAUCAAUUGCUGCCUGAAUCCUGUGCCGGCUAGGCAAUCUCGUGACUGUUGUAAAAGGGACAUUCCAAGCGUAUGUGAUACAUGCUCUUUGACAGUGUAUAACCACUCUGUACACCCCCACUUCUUUGGAGUGCGCCAUUCCUUUGUGAAAGGACUCUACCAAGAGUCUAUAUGGUCCUCAGACCUGGCUCAUAAUAAACUCA
Molecule: long non-coding RNA, 679 nt
Filed under: Equus caballus (horse)
Lineage: Eukaryota; Metazoa; Chordata; Mammalia; Perissodactyla; Equidae
Description: lncRNA (ENSECAG00000052639.1)
Source: RNAcentral